Molecule: non-coding RNA, 1130 nt
Organism: Cyanistes caeruleus (blue tit)
Lineage: Eukaryota; Metazoa; Chordata; Aves; Passeriformes; Paridae
Source: RefSeq, a predicted model, not a curated record
CCCAGCCGGAGCAGGGGCUGCAGAUCACAACCCAAUCUUUCUGGUGGCCAGAGCCCACGCGCUAGUCCUGUGGUGCUUUGCCAGAAUGACAAACAAAAGCACCACAUCUGCACGGCAAAGAUGAUGCUGAGAGGAUGCUGCUGAGCCUCUGGGCCUCAGCACGGGGCUGAUGGACCAGACCCUGGGACAUGCACUUACUGGCACCAUCCUACUUAUGGGGCUUCUGCUGAUAGCUCCAGAUAACUUCACGUGCUGCCCGAUGAUCUAGAAAAGGGGAUGAAGAAACUCCAGUGAGUGGGACAAGCACUGGUGGAACAUCUUUCACAAGGAUCUCAUGCAGCUUUGGAAGGAAACAUGCAGCUCAGGAUAAUGAAGCAAGCAGGAGUACAGUACCUCACUGCAUUUUGCUCCAUCAGCAUGUGGUGAGGCACCAUGCACCACAUGGAAAGGUGAGCAGUCACAGGCCUUGCUCCAGACCUCAGGCGAAAUCAGGAGCUGUGCUAUGUUUGUGCAAGAUACUCCCAAAUCAGUCAUUCUCCUGGCAGGGAAACAGUGUGUCAGCUGUUUGAUUGCUAAGUCCUCCCGCACAUGGAAUGCACCAGGUCAGGAUUAAAGAUCAAACCAGUCCUGUGCAGGACACAGCCAGUCAGGAAAAUGUCUGAGCCCAGCAAAGAGCCAGGAAAGUCUUAUAUAGCAUGCCAGACAAGGACUGCAGAAAGACAACUGGGAAGUUGCUUCAUCAGAGGACACAAACCAUGAGUGUGUCCUCUGGUGGGGAUGCCUCAAGUCUGCCAAUAGGAAACCUCAGGUGUCCUGGAGGAGAUCCCACAGAGCGGCAGUAGCUGCUAAAAUGCAUUUGCCCCUAACUUUGCAACACGUACAAUCUGCUGAAGCCCAGCUACGACCUUUCAGUAAGUGUCUGCCAUACUGAGUGGGUCUGGUACAGUCCUGUUGGCUCUGCUUGGGUCCCCAAGGUGGUAUUCAGGAAUUUUUUGCCUUAGAGUACAGUCCACUCUGUGUGGGGCCAGUAGGACUCAGCACCUGGUGGGGCUGGAAACCACAAUGCAGUCAUCCAAGUCUGGGAGGCUGGGAUUCCUGUACCUUCCCUGGGGGGCACGUGGGGACUAGGU